This 119-nucleotide ribosomal RNA is filed under the name Gossypium arboreum. The record is from RNAcentral. RNAcentral also lists the same sequence under 2 other names. Lineage: Eukaryota; Viridiplantae; Streptophyta; Magnoliopsida; Malvales; Malvaceae.
GGGUGCGAUCAUACCAGCACUAAUGCACCGGAUCCCAUCAGAACUCCGCAGUUAAGCGUGCUUGGGCGAGAGUAGUACUAGGAUGGGUGACCUCCUGGGAAGUCCUCGUGUUGCGCCCC